AAAAUUUUUUAUUUAUUUAUUGUUUUUUCCAAAAUGACCUUUCCUUGCUAACAAACAAAAAUUUAAGAAGCAGCAAGGCCACAUGUGACUUUCUUACUGAGCUCAAGGGAGCCCUAGGGACCUUUGAGGUACAAGAAAAGGGGAGGGCCCAGUACUCUUCCUAUCACCCCCACCUCACCACAGUGGCCUUCUGUCUUUUUCACAGCUCAAGUUCCCAUGUAAAAUUUCACUAGAAGAAUAAUAGUUUGGAAGACUAACUCCUGUCAUGUCACAGGAUCUUUCUAUGACUCCUCUGGAUAAAAGCCUCCAGAGGCUCCCCAUUGCCUACAGCAUACAGGACCUGCCAGCACACCCCAGCCUCCUCACGAUCUGACUUCUACUAACUUACCCAAAGUGGGCUGUUACUAGCUUGUUUUCCUGUCAUCCUGUGUGUCACCACCCUCUGCGUCAUGUCACAAUUCACUCCCCGGCUCUCUCCCAACCACACUCUGGGCCUCUGGAUGCUUCACUUCACCUGCCUAGGAUGCCCUUCCUGCUAUAGGAACCUUUCUUUGUCUGGAAGAUACCUGUUCCUUCAAGACAUCCUUUAAGGGUCAUCUCCCAGCCCCACGUUGGAGCACUCCUGUUGUUUCCUUGUGUAUGUUCCCCGCUGGGCUACUCUACUAAAUUGAAACUACUCUAUUCUUGGUUGUGUUGGUUUUUCUUCCCCUCCCCUAUCCUGGUCUUGGCCAAAAAUGGAAGUGCUUCUAAAAUGCAGGCUCCACACAAGUAGGAGGCUUAUCUGUUGUUUUCACUGCUGCAUCCCCAGGCUGGAAGAGGGACUAGCACAUUCUAAGCAUCCAGUAAGUAUUUGUUAAAUAAGUACAUAAGCCAGAACCUCUAUUUCAACAGCCAGAACUACCACCAUACCUGUAACAAAAGUCGUGCUUCUGGAAGGUCUGGCAAGCCAAAGGGAAGAUAUCCAGAAAGGCCCAGAGUGUGGUGCAGGUAUCACAAAGGUAGAGAAUAAUGUCCUUUAAUUCCUGUUGCCAAAAGAAUACACUGCGUUAUUCUCCUCUGCCCACACAUACAGAUCUGCAGAGCGUCUGAGACAACAUUAACACAAUCGGAGUCCCAAACAGGCAGGAUGUUACACGGGAGGAAGAGAACACUGGAGGUCCCAGACAAAGCCUGGCUGGUCCAUCUUCAGAAGCACGAUCUGGGUAAGUCACCUAACCUCUCUAAGUCUCAGUUUGCUAUGGUAGCUCCAAUGGCUUUACACCCAAUGAUUGCUGGGUUACUUCCAGUUCUGAGAUAAUGCAAUUUCUUCUCCUAAGCUAAAGGAAAACCAACUCUUAAAUCUGAAGACAUUAUAGAAAGAAGAAACAUCCGAGGCAGGACAAGAAUAUUAAGUACAUAUUCUUGUACUUAAUAUUUAAGGUUUUUCACAUCUUGAAGAGGGUGUACAAAACACUUUCUAAGUUUCUUACAUACUCUCCUGGUUCUCAUGACAACUCUGAAAAGUAGGCUGGGAAGCUGUUGAGAAUCUCUAUUUUACAGAUAAGGAAACAGGUUCUGAGGGGUAAAAUGAUUUGUUCCCACAGUGCCUGCCACAUGCCCUUCUGAAACAAGAUCACAUUCUCCAGGAGGCAGCUCAUAGCUGCCUUGUUCCUGUUCUAUCUCCAGGGCUUAGUGCAGCAUGUGGCACAUGCUGAGGCUUCCUGAAUGUCUGCCUUCCAUUUGUCAUCCCUGUUAGACUCGAAAUUCCAUGAGCACAGGGGCCAGUCUGCUUUUGUUUACUGCUUUACCUCCAGGCCUAGCACAGGGUCUGGCACAUGCUGGGGAUUCCUCAAUAUAAGUCCAUUGAAUGAAUGACUGGCUCAGUGCAUAACAUACAAAUGAGCAUGUCGAACUGAAAUAAAUGAGGACACUGAAUUCUUAUUCCCUGGUUCUUUCCACUACUUUGUAAAUGAAGCUCUCAGAGAGAAACGCAAGCCAGC
This is a long non-coding RNA of Sapajus apella (tufted capuchin), 1979 nucleotides long. RefSeq lists it as uncharacterized. The transcript has 2 exons. Lineage: Eukaryota; Metazoa; Chordata; Mammalia; Primates; Cebidae. The record is from RefSeq and is a predicted model, not a curated record.